RNAcentral lists this unclassified non-coding RNA (607 nucleotides) under Hevea brasiliensis (rubber tree). Lineage: Eukaryota; Viridiplantae; Streptophyta; Magnoliopsida; Malpighiales; Euphorbiaceae. The record is from RNAcentral.
UUAUCAUCUGGUUUAUCACCUUCACCUUUAUUUGCUGCUCCAUCAAGCACUUCUACCUUCAGUAAUGGACAGUUCGCACCUAGUCCUGCUAUCUCAGCCUUUUCUCUCUUGGAUUCAAGUAAUUCCCCAAAGGAUGUUCAGUCUUACAGUUCAAGUGAGGUUGCCCAUUCCACAAGCAUUUCAGCUGCUGUUGGUGGUGGUCUGUUUGGUUUUGCUGCAGCAUCUUCAGUAUCAACUGAACCUCUUAUCAAAUCUGGGCCCUCUGAAGUUCCAUCAAUGGUGUCAAAGCUUUUAACAGCUUCCACUGCAGACAACGCAGACUUGCAAACCAAAGCAGCUAAUUCUGACAAUUUGAGUAGCAGUUCACCUUUUGCGGGCUCAUCAUUUGCAUCUACAAGUCCUGGAAAUAGUAUUUUUGGUUUUAGUUCAUCAGGAAUGUCUACAGUUACUACAGCUAGUGACCAAUCUCAGAGUUCCGUUUUCAGCACUGGAGCUCAGUCACUUGUUAGUGCUCAAACUUCACUCACUGGAUCAGACAAUACCAGAGUCUCACAGAGUGUUCCUGCUCAUUUUGGGUCAUCUACUACAUCACCAGUAGUGGGCAAUU